CACGUAGGGCGCAAGCGUUGUCCGGAAUUAUUGGGCGUAAAGGGCUCGUAGGCGGUCUGUUACGUCUGCUGUGAAAACCCUGGGCUUAACCCUGGGCUUGCAGUGGAUACGGGCAGACUAGAGGCAGGUAGGGGAGAAUGGAAUUCCCGGUGUAGCGGUGAAAUGCGCAGAUAUCGGGAGGAACACCGGUGGCGAAGGCGGUUCUCUGGGCCUGACCUGACGCUGAGGAGCGAAAGCGUGGGGAGCGAACAGG
RNAcentral lists this ribosomal RNA (253 nucleotides) under uncultured bacterium. RNAcentral describes it as "partial 16S ribosomal RNA". It matches the Rfam family "Bacterial small subunit ribosomal RNA", at positions 524 to 776 of the family's 1533-position model. The record is from RNAcentral.